GCGUUGUUCGGAUUCAUUGGGCGUAAAGGGUGCGUAGGUGGCGUGGUAAGUCGGGUGUGAAAUUUCGGAGCUUAACUCCGAAACUGCAUUCGAUACUGCCGUGCUUGAGGACUGGAGAGGAGACUGGAAUUUACGGUGUAGCAGUGAAAGGCGUAGAGUUCGUAAGGAAGACCAGUGGCGAAGACGGGUCUCUGGACAGUUCCUGGCACUGAGGCACGAAGGCCAG
This 226-nucleotide ribosomal RNA is filed under the name uncultured bacterium. RNAcentral's name for it is "partial 16S ribosomal RNA". It matches the Rfam family "Bacterial small subunit ribosomal RNA", at positions 538 to 763 of the family's 1533-position model. The record is from RNAcentral.